Non-coding RNA from Tachysurus fulvidraco (yellow catfish), 569 nucleotides. The record is from the annotation of a RefSeq genome assembly. Lineage: Eukaryota; Metazoa; Chordata; Actinopteri; Siluriformes; Bagridae.
ACCACAUGACACAUUUCCCUAAUUACUUACAUUGAUUAGUACACUCUCAUCUUGUGUCUCAGGUUUUAUUGCCUCUAUAGUGGUCAUAGACACGCCCUAUUCAAAUAGAUUAGGGUAUAAACAGCAUGAUCGUGGUUGGACUGGUUAUCAUUGCGCUCUUUGAUAACACUUCAAUGUGUUUUAAAAUGCUGUGUAGACAAACUGUGAGAAUGAUUUUAGGAUACUGUGUUUUAUUUGCUCUAAUAUCAUAUUCUUAUGGACAGUCCCUGACCUCGUCUGCUUCUGUGGUGAAGAAACCAGGAGAGUCGGUCACUCUGUCCUGCACUGUGUCUGGGCUCUCGCUUGCCUGGUUGCACUGGAUCCGUCAGAAACCAGGACAAGGACUGGAGUGGAUCGGGCGCAUUGAUAGUGGCACUGGCACCGUGUUCGCUCAGUCUCUACAGGGCCAGUUCUCCAUCAAUAAAGACACCAAUAAAAACUUGCUGUACCUAGAAGUGAAGAGUCUGAAAGCUGAAGACACGGCAGUUUAUUACUGUGCAAAAGAGACACACUGACACAACAGGCUCCAG